This 524-nucleotide long non-coding RNA is filed under the name Hordeum vulgare. RNAcentral's name for it is "long non-coding RNA (HVUL_LNC018323)". The record is from RNAcentral. Lineage: Eukaryota; Viridiplantae; Streptophyta; Magnoliopsida; Poales; Poaceae.
ACACAUAUCCACGGCCACGGUCAUGGCCAGCCGCCAACAGCAACAGCAGCAGGUGGUUGGUAAGCAUAGCUAGGAGUCGCAGCAACGCGAGGACUUCAAGAGGCCGGUGUCACGGGCGUCGCGUUGGCACGGUGAUGCGGCGACAGGGACGCAGGCGGCACAGCGACACGGGGACGUCGGGAGGCCGGUGUCGCACUGGUUGCAGAGAAGAGGGUCCCACCCAGACCGCGGUUCCAACAUCAUUUUGCCCCAUCGUGGGCACCAACUGUCAUCGUUUUUUCGCAACAGAUGCCAGGGGGUGUCUAAUCGAGGCGAGAGCAAGGCUGUCGUGGAAGAUUCGGGAGAGGAUAGGGUAGUAGCACGCGGCGGUUUACCCAAGUCCGGGGCUCUCCGGAGAUAUAAUAACCCUACUCCUUCAUGUCUGUAUAUGAGGUGUAUUUGUAGUAAAGAGUUGCUCCUGGAGCUAUAUUGGAGGAGGGAGAGGGAGCUAAGUGAUCUAUUCCUUGGUCUCACGUAUGUGUGAG